GGGCAUGUAGCGCAGUUGGUAGCGCGCUCGCUUAGCAGGAGCCCCAUGCUGGGACUUAUUGCUUAUAUAAUCAUUGCGAGAGGUCUUGGGUUCAAAUCCCAACUUGUCCA
Ceratobasidium sp. 428 is the source of this 110-nucleotide non-coding RNA. The record is from the annotation of a GenBank genome assembly. Lineage: Eukaryota; Fungi; Basidiomycota; Agaricomycetes; Cantharellales; Ceratobasidiaceae.